Molecule: RNA transcript, 1542 nt
Organism: Gossypium raimondii (Peruvian cotton)
Lineage: Eukaryota; Viridiplantae; Streptophyta; Magnoliopsida; Malvales; Malvaceae
Gene name: protein FANTASTIC FOUR 1
Exons: 1
Source: RefSeq, a predicted model, not a curated record
UCCUUGCCUCUUUCUCUUCCUCAUCAGAAUAUAAAAAGAAAGCUAUCUCUUUCAUUUCAAUCUCCAUCUCCCCCCACCCCCAUUUGAAUUCAGAAAACUCCAAAAGAGUUGAGGAGUUUCAUUUAAGCUCCCCUGUUUCUCCCUUGUUAUCUCUGUACCUUUUCCAAUAAUAAAAAAUGUCGUCAAGUGUGAGUCAAGGGUUGCAAUCAUGCCUGGAGGUAAGGGUGGUAGAACCACGUUUUUUGAGUCUGAAACUGGCUCCACAUAAAUCAAAUUCCCCUGCCUCCAUUGCUCCCACUAACGAGGAAAAAGACGCCAAGCUCAUAGGCAAUCAAAAUAUGGAGAUGGGGGGCUGGAGUUUCCUCCACUCCCUCUCCAACGCCAAUGAAUAUUCUACCCAAAAUGACAAUGUAUACGUGCAUCCUCUUGUAAAGCGUUCAGCUUCUAUCCUAAGUGAAAAAAGCCUUGAAAUGUGCACCGAGAGAUUAGGUAGUGAAACUGGAAGUGAUGUUAGCGACAUUUCCUUGCUUUCAUUACAAACCGGGGUUUACAAUCCAUCGAAUUCCAAACCAAGGGAAAGUUCAUUGAAACGAAAAACGAGUCGUAUCAACACCUUCCCACCUCCAUUAACAUCCAUUACCGGUUCCAAUGGCGUCCAAGUCAAGUCUCACCGAGAAGGUGGCCGUUUGGUUCUUCAAGCCGUUACUAUCCCUCCUUGCCAUACCUACUUCCAUGCAGAACGAAGUGAAGGCAGGCUUAGGCUUUCACUUUUCAAGGAUGUCACCGAUGGUUUCCACAGCGAAGACGGCGAAGAGGAAGUCCGAGAGGACGUUGUAGAAAAAGAAGAUGAUGAUGAUGAUGAUGAAGAUGAUGAAGAUGGUGAAAAUGAUCAAGCGUUAGAAGGUGAAUUCAAAGAAGAAAGCAUUAUGAGGGAGGUGAAGUUAUGGAAGGAAAUAGUGGGAGUACUGGGGCUGAAAUUGAGACAAGGAAAUUGGCUUGGCCAAGCCGAUGCAAAGAAAGUGGGCGUAGGCACAAAGGGUUGCUUAAUUGGCAGCCAUUGUUGGUGGGGUGACUACUUGAAAGCUAAAAGUUGGAAGGUUUCUCUCAGCCCCAGAGACAAUAAUUACUAUGAUUGGAUCCCCUAAUUUCCCUCCUUUUUCUAUUACCUUUAUCAUAAUAAUUAUUAUUACUAAUUUCUAAUUUUCAGGAGUUAUGUAUAUCAAAAAGUAAGAGAUUACCGUACCAUGGAUUUCCUAAAAUAUGCUUAUGGUAGUUAUUAUCGUUAUUGGACCAGACCAUGUCACGUGCUACACUCCCUUUUCUCCUAUGCUGCAGCCCCUAUUUUUGGUUUAUUUUCCUACCUCAGUUACUUAUCAAUAUUUAUAAAAUAAAUGACUGCUGAUCCAUUAAUGACGGGGGACUUCCUCUAUAAUUUUUGCUCAUCGCUUUCCUAGGGAAAUUUUUGUUGGACACCAUUGAAUAAAAUGAUAAGAUUUUAAUUCCUCCAAUAACUUAUAUUUGGAAUCUUAACUUCAGUCCAAA